GGUAGAGGUAAUGGCUCCCCAAGGCCGAUGGAUCGGUAGGGGACACUGAGAGGGUGGAUCCCCCACAAUUGGAACUGAGACACGGUCCAGACUCCUACGGGAGGCAGCAGUAGGGAAUAUUAGUCAUGGGGGAAAGCCUGAACCAGCAACGCCCGCGUGAAGGAGGAAGCCUUUGGAGUGUAAAGCAUUUUUGGGGAGGAUGAGGAAGGACGGUACUUUCAGAACAAGCCACGGCUAACUACGUGCCAGCAGCCGCGGUAAUACGUAGGAGGCGAACGUUAUCCGGAUUUACUGGGCGUAAAGGGCGUGCAGGCGGCCCGUAAAUUCAGAUGGAAAAGUUCAAGGUCAAACUGGAGCAGGUCAUCUAAAACUCCAAGCUAGAGGAUCAGAGGGGAAAGGGAAAUUCCUAGGUAGCGGGUAAAAUGCACAGAGUUUAGGAGAACACCAGUGGGCGAAGCGGCCUCCUGGGCCACAACUGACACUCAGGCGCGAAAGCUAGGGGAGCAAACGGGAUUAGAUACCCCGGUAGUCCAAGCCGUAAACGAUGUUGACUGGGCGUAGGGAGUAUAAACUCCAUCUGUGUCGCAGCAAACGC
Molecule: ribosomal RNA, 595 nt
Filed under: uncultured bacterium
Lineage: Bacteria
Description: bacterial SSU rRNA
Rfam family: Bacterial small subunit ribosomal RNA
Source: RNAcentral